CCAGACUCCUACGGGAGGCAGCAGUCGGGAAUAUUGCGCAAUGGAGGAAACUCUGACGCAGUGACGCCGCGUGCAGGAAGAAGGUUUUCGGAUUGUAAACUGCUUUAGACAGGGAAGAAAAAAGACAGUACCUGUAGAAUAAGCUCCGGCUAACUACGUGCCAGCAGCCGCGGUAAUACGUAGGGGGCAAGCGUUAUCCGGAUUUACUGGGUGUAAAGGGAGCGCAGGCGGCGCGUUAAGCCUGGUGUGAAAGCCCGCGGCCCAACCGCGGGACUGCAUUGGGAACUGGCGCGCUGGAGUGCCGGAGGGGUAGGCGGAAUUCCUAGUGUAGCGGUGAAAUGCGUAGAUAUUAGGAGGAACACCAGUGGCGAAGGCGGCCUACUGGACGGUGACUGACGCUGAGGCUCGAAAGCGUGGGGAGCAAACAGGAUUAGAUACCCUGGUA
This 445-nucleotide ribosomal RNA is filed under the name uncultured bacterium. Its description in RNAcentral is "partial 16S ribosomal RNA". It matches the Rfam family "Bacterial small subunit ribosomal RNA", at positions 331 to 792 of the family's 1533-position model. The record is from RNAcentral.